UGAAACUUCUACGUCGAAGGGAGGAGUCAGGAUCUGAGCUCAAGCCUGACAUUGGAAAACAUCUCCCAUAAACGGCAAUGAUCUCAGGUCACCAGGCUGCUCAUCAUGGCGCACACCUGUCACCAUCGUUACGUGCACCUGCACGUCAUUAGACUCACCUGGACUCCAUCACUUCGCUGAUUACCUUUACUGUAUAUGAUAUUCCCUUUGAUUCCUUCCUGAGGCGUCAUUGUUUCUGUUUCAUGUCUGUGCGUUGUUCAUGUUUUUUAUUGUUUUGAUUUAUUUAUUAAAUUAUUCACUCCCUGAACUUGA
This is a long non-coding RNA of Oncorhynchus nerka (sockeye salmon), 312 nucleotides long. RefSeq lists it as uncharacterized. The record is from RefSeq and is a predicted model, not a curated record. NCBI's taxonomy places the organism in Eukaryota, Metazoa, Chordata, Actinopteri, Salmoniformes, Salmonidae. The transcript is spliced from 2 exons.